This 1498-nucleotide ribosomal RNA is filed under the name Mycoplasmopsis bovis. Its description in RNAcentral is "partial 23S ribosomal RNA". It matches the Rfam family "Bacterial large subunit ribosomal RNA", at positions 1400 to 2925 of the family's 2925-position model. Lineage: Bacteria; Bacillati; Mycoplasmatota; Mycoplasmoidales; Metamycoplasmataceae. The record is from RNAcentral.
GGCUGAAAAGCGUAGUCGAUGGACAACAGGUUAAUAUUCCUGUACUUUCUUUAAUUGUGAUGGAGUGACGGAGAAGGAUAAGCAUACCUAUUAUUGGAUUUAGGGGUAAGUAGUUACUGGUGAUUGUAGGCAAAUCCGCAAUCUAUAACUGGGAGCUAUGAUGCAUAGGACUUUUGUCUGAAUUUGCCAAUUCCAUGCUUCCUAGAAAAGUUUCUAAACUUAAUUUUAUUGAAACCUGUACCAAGAACGGACACACGUCCCCAAGAUGAGUAUUCUAAGGCGAGCGAGAAAACUAGUGUUAAGGAACUCUGCAAAAUGACCCCGUAAGUUCGCAAGAAGGGGCGCCUAUGGUAACACAUAGGCCACAGUAAAUUAUGAGGGGCAACUGUUUAUCAAAAACACAACUCUCUGCUAAACCGCAAGGUGAUGUAUAGGGGGUGAAGCCUGCCCAGUGCCCGAAGGUUAAGUGGAUGCGUUAGCUUAUGCGAAGCGUUGAAAUGAAGCCCGGGUGAACGGCGGCCGUAACUAUAACGGUCCUAAGGUAGCGAAAUUCCUUGUCGGCUAAAUACUGACCUGCACGAAAGGCAUAAUGAUCUCUCAACUGUCUCAACACUAGACUCGGUGAAAUUAUGGUCCCAGUGAAAACGCUGGGUUCCCGCAUCAAGACGAAGAGACCCCAUGGAGCUUUACUAUAACUUCGUAUUGGAAUUUGGCCUAACAUGUGUAGGAUAGGUGGGAGACUUUGAAGCUGAGACGCCAGUAGCAGUGGAGUCAACCUUGAAAUACCACCCUUGUUAUGUUGAAUUUCUAACUUACCAUCAUAAUCAGGUGGGAGGACAGUGCGUGGUGGGUAGUUUGACUGGGGCGGUCGCCUCCUAAAGAGUAACGGAGGCGUUCAAAGGUACACUCAGUACGGUCAGAAACCGUAUGUAGAGCGCAAAGGCAGAAGUGUGCUUGACUGUGAGACAUACAAGUCGAGCAGGUGCGAAAGCAGGACUUAGUGAUCCGGCUGUACAUUGUGGAAUGGCAGUCGCUCAACGGAUAAAAGUUACCCUGGGGAUAACAGGCUAAUCUUGCCCAAGAGAUCACAUCGACGGCAAGGUUUGGCACCUCGAUGUCGGCUCAUCGCAUCCUGGAGCUGGAGUCGGUUCCAAGGGUUGGGCUGUUCGCCCAUUAAAGCGGUACGCGAGCUGGGUUCAAAACGUCGUGAGACAGUUUGGUCCCUAUCUGAUGUGGGCGUUGGAAUAUUGAUGAGAGCCGCUCUUAGUACGAGAGGACCGGAGUGGACGUACCGCUGGUGUUCCAGUUGUUCCGCCAGGAGCAUGGCUGGGUAGCUAAGUACGGAAAGGAUAACCGCUGAAAGCAUCUAAGUGGGAAGCCUCCUCAGAGAUUAGUAUUCCCUUGAAAUUCCUUAUAGACUAUGAGGUUGAUAGGCUGGAUGUGUAAGCACAGUAAUGUGUUGAGCUGACCAGUACUAAUAAAUUGAAAGGUUUAAAAG